UGGAUAGAUUACUGUGUUCGACUGUAUUCACGGCGUGAAAUAGGGGAUUACACUGUUUUUAAACGGAAAGUUUAUAACAUAAUAGACUACU
RNAcentral lists this microRNA precursor (91 nucleotides) under Nicotiana attenuata. RNAcentral's name for it is "MIR6152 microRNA precursor family". It matches the Rfam family "MIR6152 microRNA precursor family". The record is from Rfam by way of RNAcentral. Lineage: Eukaryota; Viridiplantae; Streptophyta; Magnoliopsida; Solanales; Solanaceae.